AUUGAACGCUGGCGGCAGGCCUAACACAUGCAAGUCGCACGAGUGGCGGACGGGUGAGUAAUGUCUGGGAAACUGCCUGAUGGAGGGGGAUAACUACUGGAAACGGUAGCUAAUACCGCAUACCAUCGGAUGUGCCCUGAUGGGAUUCGCUAGUAGGUAGGGUAACGGCUCACCUAGGCGACGAGCCCGAGCUGGUCUGAGAGGAUGACAAGCAAAACUGGAACUGAGACACGGUCCAGACUCCUACGGGAGGCAGCAGUGGGGAAUAUUGCACAAUGGGAGAAAGCCUGAUGCAGCCAUGCCGCGUGUAUGAAGAAGGCCUUAGGGUGGUAAAGUACUUUCAGCGGGGAGGCGUUACCCACAGAAGAAGCACCGGCUAACUCCGUGCCAGCAGCCGCGGUAAUAC
This 406-nucleotide ribosomal RNA is filed under the name uncultured bacterium. RNAcentral's name for it is "partial 16S ribosomal RNA". It matches the Rfam family "Bacterial small subunit ribosomal RNA", at positions 30 to 526 of the family's 1533-position model. The record is from RNAcentral.